RNAcentral lists this ribosomal RNA (252 nucleotides) under uncultured bacterium. Its description in RNAcentral is "partial 16S ribosomal RNA". It matches the Rfam family "Bacterial small subunit ribosomal RNA", at positions 525 to 776 of the family's 1533-position model. The record is from RNAcentral.
ACGGAGGGUCCAAGCGUUAUCCGGAUUUAUUGGGUUUAAAGGGUUCGUAGGCGGGAUAUUAAGUCAGUGGUGAAAGCCCACAGCUCAACUGUGGAACUGCCAUUGAUACUGAUAUUCUUGAGUUUAUUUGGAGUUAGCGGAAUAUGUCAUGUAGCGGUGAAAUGCUUAGAUAUGACAUAGAACACCGAUCGCGAAAGCAGCUAACUAAGAUAAUACUGACGCUGAGGAACGAAAGCGUGGGGAGCGAACAGG